RNAcentral lists this long non-coding RNA (1019 nucleotides) under Oryza brachyantha (malo sina). Its description in RNAcentral is "long non-coding RNA (OBRA_LNC001195)". The record is from RNAcentral. Lineage: Eukaryota; Viridiplantae; Streptophyta; Magnoliopsida; Poales; Poaceae.
CAAUCAAUUAACCCAAAGUUUCCUGUCAUCGAGUUGCCAGACAGCACUGUCAGCCGGCUGUAAGACGGCGAGGGUUUCUCUCUCUCUCACCCUAUUUUUUUCCGUUUCUUUUUUGCCCUCCGCCUCAGUGCCUCUCACCUCCAUGAAAAGCGGCCACCUUUUGCUCCCGAAAGGCGGAGGAGCGGAGGAACAGAAGCCCUCACGCGCGCACGCGGCGCGCAGAGGCCGCCGUACGCCGUACGGCCGGCGCGCCACCGGGCCACCAGCGACAGGCGGCCGCGGGUGGCGAGAACGGUGAGAAGGAUUAAAAGAAAAAAUGGCGCGUCCAUGAGGUGGACGCGUUGGGUUCGUGAAUUGACUGGUAGUGCUAAAUUUGCUAAUUUGAUUCUCGUUGCAGGUGCAUCGGCCGGUGGCGGAUUAAAGGACGGUAAUGGCGUGGGUAAUUUUUUAGCUGAUGAGACUGCUUUGUUUACCUUGCCUUCUUCCUUGAGGCCGAGGAACUCCAUGGCCUUCUUCGCGCUGUCGACGGCGAUAACUGCACGAAAUUGAGCUCUGGUUUUUCAGAUUCUGGCGGUAAAGUCUUGAACCGAAGUGAUCAGAACGACAGUCUGAGCAGCAGGGUGUAUAUGUUUGUUGCACACAAAAUCAAACACCAAGGGGAAACGGGAAAGAAAAAAAACAGAGACGACGAGUGUGCUUGCAAAUAUGCAUGCUCAUUAUUAGUGGUAAAAAGAAAGCAUCAAUCUGUGAUGAAAAUUACAGCAAUGGAUGAAGCAAAAGAAAAGAAAAGAAAAGAAAAGAAAAGGGAAAGAGCACGCACGCAUUGGGACAAGAGGAUGAAGGCAGGGCAGCCAUGGAAAGAAGAAACAGCCGGUGACUUGAAAGAAGCAGAGGAGAGAUUCAGGAAAAGGCGAAUGGAAACAGAGAGGAUGAGGAAGCAAGCCAAGCAAGAACCGAGACGAGGAAUGAGCGAGUGAGUGAGGGGCGUAGAAGGAGGAGGAGGGCGGCGGCGAGCUGAC